Molecule: ribosomal RNA, 466 nt
Filed under: uncultured bacterium
Lineage: Bacteria
Description: bacterial SSU rRNA
Rfam family: Bacterial small subunit ribosomal RNA
Source: RNAcentral
ACGCUGGCGGCGUGCUUUAACACAUGCAAGUCGAACGAUGAAAGCGGGAGCUUGCUCCUGCUGGAUUAGUGGCGAACGGGUGAGUAACACGUGAGCAAUCUGCCCCGAACUCUGGGAUAAGCGUUGGAAACGACGUCUAAUACCGGAUACGACGCGCGAAGGCAUCUUCUGCGCGUGGAAAGAAUUUCGGUUCGGGAUGAGCUCGCGGCCUAUCAGCUAGUUGGUGAGGUAAUGGCUCACCAAGGCGACGACGGGUAGCCGGCCUGAGAGGGUGACCGGCCACACUGGGACUGAGACACGGCCCAGACUCCUACGGGAGGCAGCAGUGGGGAAUAUUGCACAAUGGGCGCAAGCCUGAUGCAGCAACGCCGCGUGAGGGACGACGGCCUUCGGGUUGUAAACCUCUUUUAGUAGGGAAGAAGCGAAAGUGACGGUACCUGCAGAAAAAGCACCGGCUAACUACGUG